UACGGAGGUCUCAAGCGUUGUUCGGAAUUACUGGGCGUAAAGGGUUCGUAGGUGGCUUGCUAAGUCAGACGUGAAAUCCCUCAGCUCAACUGGGGAACUGCGUCUGAGACUGGCGAGCUUGAGUGCAGGAGAGGAAUGCGGAAUUCCAGGUGUAGCGGUGAAAUGCGUAGAUAUCUGGAGGAACACCGGUGGCGAAGGCGGCGUUCUGGACUGCAACUGACACUGAGGAACGAAAGCCAGGGGAGCAAACAGG
Molecule: ribosomal RNA, 253 nt
Filed under: uncultured bacterium
Lineage: Bacteria
Description: partial 16S ribosomal RNA
Rfam family: Bacterial small subunit ribosomal RNA
Source: RNAcentral